Molecule: ribosomal RNA, 406 nt
Filed under: uncultured bacterium
Lineage: Bacteria
Description: partial 16S ribosomal RNA
Rfam family: Bacterial small subunit ribosomal RNA
Source: RNAcentral
AUUGAACGCUGGCGGCAGGCCUAACACAUGCAAGUCGAGCGAGCGGCGGACGGGUGAGUAAUGUCUGGGAAACUGCCUGAUGGAGGGGGAUAACUACUGGAAACGGUAGCUAAUACCGCAUACUAUCAGAUGAGCCUAGGUCGGAUGAGCUAGUUGGUGGGGUAAAGGCCUACCAAGGCGACGAUUCGUAACUGGUCUGAGAGGAUGAUCAGCAACAUGGUAAUUGAGAGACGUGCCAGACUCCGACGGGAGGCAGCAGUGGGGAAUAUUGGACAAUGGGGGCAAGCCUGAUGCAGCCAGGCCGCGUGUAUGAAGAAGGCCUUAGGGUUGUAAAGUACUUUCAGCGGGGAGGCGUUACCCGCAGAAGAAGCACCGGCUAACUCCGUGCCAGCAGCCGCGGUAAUUC